GUCCUCUUGAUAAUACUUUGAGGUCUGGCCUGCUCACUGACAAGGUUUUGAAGAGCCGCGGUAUUUUGACCGUGCAAAGGUAGCAUAAUCAUUAGUCUCUUAAUUAGAGGCUGGAAUGAAUGGCUUGACGAGAAAUCAACUGUCUCUUAAUAAUUUUUAAAAUUUAACUUUUAAGUUAAAAGGCUUAAAUUUUUCUUUAGGACGAGAAGACCCUAUAGAGCUUGACAUUUUAUUUUUAUAUAGUUUUUAGUUUAUCUUUCUAUAUUUAAUGAUAAUGUUUUGUUGGGGUGACAUGAAGAAUAAUUAAACUCUUCAUUAUUAAAUCAUUGAUUUAUGUUUAUCAUGAUCCAUAAUUUAUGAUCAUAAGAUUAAGUUACCUUAGGGAUAACAGCGUAAUUGUUUUUGAGAGCUCAUAUCGACAAAGCAGAUUGCGACCUCGAUGUUGGAUUAAGAAAAAUUUUGGGUGUAGGAGCUCAAUAAUUAGGUCUGUUCGACCUUUAAAUUCUUACA
This 510-nucleotide ribosomal RNA is filed under the name Calliptamus plebeius. Its description in RNAcentral is "partial large subunit ribosomal RNA". It matches the Rfam family "Bacterial large subunit ribosomal RNA", at positions 1819 to 2600 of the family's 2925-position model. Lineage: Eukaryota; Metazoa; Arthropoda; Insecta; Orthoptera; Acrididae. The record is from RNAcentral.